UACAGAGGGGGCAAGCGUUAUUCGGAAUUAUUGGGCGUAAAGGGCGCGUAGGCGACUUUGCAAGUGACGGGUGAAAGCCCUCGGCUUAACCGAGGAACUGCCUGUCAGACUGUAAGGCUUGAGACCGGGAGAGGUGAGUGGAAUUCCCAGUGUAGCGGUGAAAUGCGUAGAUAUUGGGAGGAACACCAGUGGCGAAGGCGGCUCACUGGACCGGAACUGACGCUGAGGCGCGAAAGCGUGGGGAGCAAACAGG
Molecule: ribosomal RNA, 253 nt
Filed under: uncultured bacterium
Lineage: Bacteria
Description: partial 16S ribosomal RNA
Rfam family: Bacterial small subunit ribosomal RNA
Source: RNAcentral